Molecule: ribosomal RNA, 593 nt
Filed under: Laodicea undulata
Lineage: Eukaryota; Metazoa; Cnidaria; Hydrozoa; Leptothecata; Laodiceidae
Description: partial large subunit ribosomal RNA
Rfam family: Bacterial large subunit ribosomal RNA
Source: RNAcentral
GCCCCAGAUAGUAUCUGAGGUGUAACCUGCCCAAUGGUUUUAAAAUAAAAAUUAAUAAAAUUGAUUUAAUAAAACUUAAAGGACGCAGUAACCUUGACUGUGAUAAUGUAGCAUAAUCACUCGCCAUUUAAUUGAUGGAUAGUAUGAAUGGUUGAACGAAUAUUCCACUGUCUUAAGAAGAGAUACCAAGAAAUUGAAAUAGUAGUUAAGAUGCUAUUUAAAAUUGUAAGACGAAAAGACCCUAUAGAGCUUAACUAUAACCUUUUUUUAGAACAGAAAAUCAAUUCAAAAUUAAAAAGGUUGGUAGUUUAGUUGGGGCGACUAUCUUCUAAAAAUAACGAAGAGAAGCAAAGUUAAUAUAGGACUUAUUGUAUAAUUUAUAAAUUUAACAAUUACAAAAGUAGGCUAUUAUGACCCGUUAUGUAAUCAUAAUAAUCAUAACGAUCAAUAAAUAAAAGCUACCUUAGGGAUAACAGGAUAAUUUUAUUUUAGAGAUCCUAUCGAAAAUAAAGUUUGUCACCUCUAUGUUGAAUUAAGAUAUCCUGACAAUGCAGAAGUUGUCAAAGGUAGGUCUGUUCGACCUUUAAAAUCUU